UGCAGGAAGCUUGUGUAGCCUGGACCUGAGGUAGUGAAGAAGUGGGAGAUCCAAAUUCAUAGAUCACAGGCUUGAGGCACUAACUUUUAAGUUCCUCAAUCACUGGGGUCACUCAUCGUAGCUAAGAGAGCGAUUUCAUUCCUUUGGGUUCCAGUAAAUUUGUAAUUACCUCACACCAUAUAGGACAGCUGUAACAGGGGAUAUAGUGAGAGACCCUGAAGCCUGGUGGCUUAGUCUUGCCAGGAUCAGCAGAUACAGGUCCAUGCAGAAGAGUGAAAUUAACUUUUUCAUCCCUCACAUUUUCUCAGUGAUUGUCCUAACCACGGUGCUAGCAAAAGCCUUAUUUGUUCUCCAUCUCAUUUGCUGCCAAUAUAUGAGAGUAGCCCAGGCACUCGAGAAGCCCACAAAGAAAACAAAAAUGAGGAGUCUCAGCCGAGUCUGCAGAAAGAGAAGAGACAGAAGAAAAUACCAGAAAAGGCACUGA
RNAcentral lists this long non-coding RNA (484 nucleotides) under Anser cygnoides (Swan goose). RNAcentral describes it as "lncRNA (ENSACDG00005002428.1)". Lineage: Eukaryota; Metazoa; Chordata; Aves; Anseriformes; Anatidae. The record is from RNAcentral.